AGAGUAUGAUAGAGGAAAGCAGAAUUUCUAGUGUAGAGGUGAAAUUCGUAGAUAUUAGAAAGAAUACCAAUUGCGAAGGCAGCUUUCUGGAUCAUUACUGACACUGAGGAACGAAAGCAUGGGUAGCGAAGAGGAUUAGAUACCCUCGUAGUCCAUGCCGUAAACGAUGUGUGUUAGACGUUGGAAAUUUAUUUUCAGUGUCGCAGCGAAAGCGAUAAACACACCGCCUGGGGAGUACGACCGCAAGGUUAAAACUCAAAUGAAUUGACGGGGACCCGCACAAGUAGUGGAGCAUGUGGUUUAAUUCGAAGAUACGCGCAGAACCUUACCAACACUUGACAUGUUCGUCGCGACUCUAAGAGAUUAGAGUUUUCGGUUCGGCCGGACGAAACACAGUGCUGCAUGGCUGUCGUCAGCUCGUGUCGUGAGAUGUUGGGUAAGUCCGCACGAGCGCACCCUCACUUUAGUUGCAUCAUAAGUUGGCACUCUGAAGACUGCCAGUGAUAAGCUGGAGAAGUGGGAUGACGUCAGUCUCAUGGCCUUACGUGUGGGCUACACACGUGCUACAUGUAUCUACACAGGAGCAGACUGCGAGUCAGCAAUCUUAAAGAACUCAGUCGAUGCCUCUGCACUCAUGCUGAGUGGAUACUAUAUCGUGAUCACUGCACGUGAUGCGUCCGGUCUGUCCACCGCCGUCACCAUGGAGUGUCUACUAGCAGUUCAACCUGACCCGAUAGUAGGACUGGUGAGUCGUACAGUAGGCGAUCGUACUGCGAUAUCUACGAGUAUCGACUGGACAGAAAGGUUUCGGGACAUGACGGCCCUCUACGGACCUUCUCCGAGAACUACCAGCUCUCCCCCGCUCGCCCAGUCCUUGAUCCCUCGCCCGAAUUGGCGUCCCUGGUGAUCCUCAACUUGCACUGGGCUACCCACAUCCGGGCCCGAUUUCAAUCUCGUACUCUGGUUCGCAGAACGUUCCCGCCAU
This 985-nucleotide ribosomal RNA is filed under the name uncultured bacterium. RNAcentral describes it as "bacterial SSU rRNA". The stretch from base 1 to 826 matches the Rfam family "Bacterial small subunit ribosomal RNA", at positions 643 to 1533 of the family's 1533-position model. The record is from RNAcentral.